This 253-nucleotide ribosomal RNA is filed under the name uncultured bacterium. Its description in RNAcentral is "partial 16S ribosomal RNA". It matches the Rfam family "Bacterial small subunit ribosomal RNA", at positions 524 to 776 of the family's 1533-position model. The record is from RNAcentral.
UACAGAGGUGCCAAGCGUUAGGCGGAAUCACUGGGCUUAAAGCGCGCGUAGGCGGGUUUUUAAGUCAGGGGUGAAAUCCUGGAGCUCAACUCCAGAACUGCCUUUGAUACUGAAGAUCUUGAGUCCGGGAGAGGUGAGUGGAACUGCGAGUGUAGAGGUGAAAUUCGUAGAUAUUCGCAAGAACACCAGUGGCGAAGGCGGCUCACUGGCCCGGUACUGACGCUGAGGCACGAAAGCGUGGGGAGCAAACAGG